UAAUUGAAGAGUUUGAUCAUGGCUCAGAUUGAACGCUGGCGGCAGGCCUAACACAUGCAAGUCGAGCGGUAACAGGGGAAGCUUGCUUCYCGCUGACGAGCGGCGGACGGGUGAGUAAUGUAUGGGGAUCUGCCCGAUAGAGGGGGAUAACUACUGGAAACGGUAGCUAAUACCGCAUAAUCUCUCAGGAGCAAAGCAGGGGAACUUCGGUCCUUGCGCUAUCGGAUGAACCCAUAUGGGAUUAGCUAGUAGGUGAGGUAAUGGCUCACCUAG
This 273-nucleotide ribosomal RNA is filed under the name Providencia rettgeri. RNAcentral's name for it is "partial 16S ribosomal RNA". The record is from RNAcentral. Lineage: Bacteria; Pseudomonadati; Pseudomonadota; Gammaproteobacteria; Enterobacterales; Morganellaceae.